Molecule: ribosomal RNA, 505 nt
Filed under: uncultured bacterium
Lineage: Bacteria
Description: partial 16S ribosomal RNA
Rfam family: Bacterial small subunit ribosomal RNA
Source: RNAcentral
GACGAACGCUGGCGGCGUGCCUAAUACAUGCAAGUAGAACGCACAGUUUAUACCGUAGCUUGCUACACCAUAGACUGUGAGUUGCGAACGGGUGAGUAACGCGUAGGUAACCUGCCUGGUAGCGGGGGAUAACUAUUGGAAACGAUAGCUAAUACCGCAUAAUAUUGAUUAUUGCAUGAUAAUUGAUUGAAAGAUGCUAUUGCAUCACUACCAGAUGGACCUGCGUUGUAUUAGCUAGUAGGUGAGGUAACGGCUCACCUAGGCGACGAUACAUAGCCGACCUGAGAGGGUGAUCGGCCACACUGGGACUGAGACACGGCCCAGACUCCUACGGGAGGCAGCAGGAGGGAAUCUUCGGCAAUGGACGCAAGUCUGACCGAGCAACGCCGCGUGAGGGAAGAAGGGUUUCGGAUCGUAAAGCUCUGUUGUAAGAGAAGAACGGGUGUGAGAGUGGAAAGUUCACACUGUGACGGUAUCUUACCAGAAAGGGACGGCUAACUACGUG